CUGAUGCAGCGACGCCGCGUGAGGGAUGACGGCCUUCGGGUUGUAAACCUCUUUCAGUAGGGAAGAAGCGAAAGUGACGGUACCUGCAGAAGAAGCGCCGGCUAACUACGUGCCAGCAGCCGCGGUAAUACGUAGGGCGCAAGCGUUAUCCGGAAUUAUUGGGCGUAAAGAGCUCGUAGGCGGUUUGUCGCGUCUGCUGUGAAAGACCGGGGCUCAACUCCGGUUCUGCAGUGGGUACGGGCAGACUAGAGUGCAGUAGGGGAGACUGGAAUUCCUGGUGUAGCGGUGAAAUGCGCAGAUAUCAGGAGGAACACCGAUGGCGAAGGCAGGUCUCUGGGCUGUAACUGACGCUGAGGAGCGAAAGCAUGGGGAGCGAACAGGAUUAGAUACCCUGGUAGUCCAUGCCGUAAACGUUGGGCACUAGGUGUGGGGGACAUUCCACGUUUUCCGCGCCGUAGCUAACGCAUUAAGUGCCCCGCCUGGGGAGUACGGCCGCAAGGCUAAAACUC
Molecule: ribosomal RNA, 509 nt
Filed under: uncultured bacterium
Lineage: Bacteria
Description: bacterial SSU rRNA
Rfam family: Bacterial small subunit ribosomal RNA
Source: RNAcentral